This 406-nucleotide ribosomal RNA is filed under the name uncultured bacterium. Its description in RNAcentral is "partial 16S ribosomal RNA". It matches the Rfam family "Bacterial small subunit ribosomal RNA", at positions 30 to 526 of the family's 1533-position model. The record is from RNAcentral.
AUUGAACGCUGGCGGCAGGCCUAACACAUGCAAGUCGAACGAGUGGCGGACGGGUGAGUAAUGUAUGGGAAACUGCCUGAUGGAGGGGGAUAACUACUGGAAACGGUAGCUAAUACCGCAUACUAUCGGAUGUGCCCAGAUGGGAUUAGCUAGUUGGUGGGGUAAAGGCUCACCAAGGCGACGAUCCCUAGCUGGUCUGAGAGGAUGAACAGCCACACUGGAACUGAGACACGGUCCAGACUCCUACGGGAGGCAGCAGUGGGGAAUAUUGCACAAUGGGCGCAAGCCUGAUGCAGCCAUGCCGCGUGUAUGAAGAAGGCCUUCGGGUUGUAAAGUACUUUCAGCGGGGAGGCGUUACCCGCAGAAGAAGCACCGGCUAACUCCGUGCCAGCAGCCGCGGUAAUUC